This 666-nucleotide ribosomal RNA is filed under the name Enterobacter asburiae. RNAcentral describes it as "bacterial SSU rRNA". It matches the Rfam family "Bacterial small subunit ribosomal RNA", at positions 51 to 708 of the family's 1533-position model. Lineage: Bacteria; Pseudomonadati; Pseudomonadota; Gammaproteobacteria; Enterobacterales; Enterobacteriaceae. The record is from RNAcentral.
ACACAUGCAAGUCGAGCGGUAACACAGGGAGCUUGCUCCUGGGUGACGAGCGGCGGACGGGUGAGUAAUGUCUGGGAAACUGCCUGAUGGAGGGGGAUAACUACUGGAAACGGUAGCUAAUACCGCAUAACGUCGCAAGACCAAAGAGGGGGACCUUCGGGCCUCUUGCCAUCAGAUGUGCCCAGAUGGGAUUAGCUAGUAGGUGGGGUAACGGCUCACCUAGGCGACGAUCCCUAGCUGGUCUGAGAGGAUGACCAGCCACACUGGAACUGAGACACGGUCCAGACUCCUACGGGAGGCAGCAGUGGGGAAUAUUGCACAAUGGGCGCAAGCCUGAUGCAGCCAUGCCGCGUGUAUGAAGAAGGCCUUCGGGUUGUAAAGUACUUUCAGCGAGGAGGAAGGCAUUAAGGUUAAUAACCUUGGUGAUUGACGUUACUCGCAGAAGAAGCACCGGCUAACUCCGUGCCAGCAGCCGCGGUAAUACGGAGGGUGCAAGCGUUAAUCGGAAUUACUGGGCGUAAAGCGCACGCAGGCGGUCUGUCAAGUCGGAUGUGAAAUCCCCGGGCUCAACCUGGGAACUGCAUUCGAAACUGGCAGGCUAGAGUCUUGUAGAGGGGGGUAGAAUUCCAGGUGUAGCGGUGAAAUGCGUAGAGAUCUGGAGGAAUA